This 394-nucleotide ribosomal RNA is filed under the name uncultured organism. RNAcentral's name for it is "bacterial SSU rRNA". It matches the Rfam family "Bacterial small subunit ribosomal RNA", at positions 45 to 432 of the family's 1533-position model. The record is from RNAcentral.
UGCUUAACACAUGCAAGUCGAACGGAAUCCAUGGUGUAGCAAUACAUCGGAAGAUUUAGUGGCGAACGGGUGAGGAUCACGUGAGAAACCUGCCCCAGACUUUGGGAUAACAGUUGGAAACGACUGCUAAUACCGAAUGACGUCGGAGAACCGCAUGGUUUUCUGACGAAAGGAAAUCCGGUUUGGGAGGGUCUCGCGGCCUAUCAGCUUGUUGGUGGGGUAAUGGCCUACCAAGGCAACGACGGGUAGCUGGUCUGAGAGGAUGAUCAGCCACACUGGGACUGAGACACGGCCCAGACUCCUACGGGAGGCAGCAGUGGGGAAUCUUGUGCAAUGGGCGAAAGCCUGACACAGCAACGCCGCGUGCGGGGGAAGGCCUUCGGGCUGUAAACCG